Long non-coding RNA from Lemur catta (Ring-tailed lemur), 504 nucleotides. RefSeq lists it as uncharacterized. Lineage: Eukaryota; Metazoa; Chordata; Mammalia; Primates; Lemuridae. The record is from RefSeq and is a predicted model, not a curated record. The transcript is spliced from 3 exons.
GCCGCUACUGGGAAGGGUGACCGUGGGCGGCGGCGGGGAGCUGCUGGGGGAAGCGGGGAGACCGCGGCCAUCCGGGCCCGGGGAGGAGCAAGCCUGGCAGCCCGAGCCUGCUGAAGCCCGCGUUCGGCCUGCCUGCUCCGAGCCUCAGAAGCCCCUCCCAGGCUGCAGGACGCGCUGGGCCCGCGAAAGGCACCGGUCUUCCUAGGCCAACAGGCAUUCCGGCCCUCCGGCUAACUGCGGGAGGACAGGCGCGGUCUCGGGGCGGUUCUCCGCGGCAGCCUCCUCGGCGACAGCGAGUCCGAAUUCCAAGCGGGUAAGAAUAGUUCCCAACCCAAUACCUCUAGCCAGAAGUUGCCCCCGCUCCAAUGUGAUGCAGCAGAAAGAACACUGGAGUCAAAAACCCUGGUUGCUGCCUACACUGAUCCUCACUGGUGCUGCUGCUCCUGAGACUUAUGUCUUCUAUCUGGACCUCAGCUUUGAGUUGCCCACUCACAGCCACCACUA